RNAcentral lists this ribosomal RNA (454 nucleotides) under uncultured bacterium. RNAcentral's name for it is "partial 16S ribosomal RNA". It matches the Rfam family "Bacterial small subunit ribosomal RNA", at positions 28 to 507 of the family's 1533-position model. The record is from RNAcentral.
GAUGAACGCUGACAGAAUGCUUAACACAUGCAAGUCUACUUGAACUUCGGUUUGGGUGGCGGACGGGUGAGUAAUGCGUAAAGAACUUGCCUCACAGAUAGGGACAACAUUUGGAAACGAAUGCUAAUACCUGAUAUUAUGAUUUUAGGGCAUCCUAGAAUUAUGAAAGCUAUAUGCACUGUGAGAGAGCUUUGCGUCCCAUUAGCUAGUUGGAGAGGUAACGGCUCACCAAGGCGAUGAUGGGUAGCCGGCCUGAGAGGGUGAUCGGCCACAAGGGGACUGAGACACGGCGCUUACUCCUACGGGAGGCAGCAGUGGGGAAUAUUGGACAAUGGACCAAGAGUCUGAUCCAGCAAUUCUGUGUGCACGAUGAAGUUUUUCGGAAUGUAAAGUGCUUUCAGUUGGGAAGAAAAAAAUGACGGUACCAACAGAAGAAGUGACGGCUAAAUACGUG